GAUGAACGCUGGCGGCGUGCCUAAUACAUGCAAGUCGAGCGAACAGACGAGGAGCUUGCUCCUCUGACGUUAGCGGCGGACGGGUGAGUAACACGUUGAUAACCUACCUAUAAGACUGGGAUAACUUCGGGAAACCGGAGCUAAUACCGGAUAAUAUAUUGAACCGCAUGGUUCAAUAGUGAAAGACGGUUUUGCUGUCACUUAUAGAUGGAUCCGCGCCGCAUUAGCUAGUUGGUAAGGUAACGGCUUACCAAGGCGACGAUGCGUAGCCGACCUGAGAGGGUGAUCGGCCACACUGGAACUGAGACACGGUCCAGACUCCUAAGGGAGGCAGCAGUAGGGAAUCUUCCGCAAUGGGCGAAAGCCUGACGGAGCAACGCCGCGUGAGUGAUGAAGGUCUUCGGAUCGUAAAACUCUGUUAUUAGGGAAGAACAAAUGUGUAAGUAACUAUGCACGUCUUGACGGUACCUAAUCAGAAAGCCACGGCUAACUACGUG
Molecule: ribosomal RNA, 497 nt
Filed under: uncultured bacterium
Lineage: Bacteria
Description: partial 16S ribosomal RNA
Rfam family: Bacterial small subunit ribosomal RNA
Source: RNAcentral